AUACGAAAGGUGCAAGCGUUGUUCGGAUUUACUGGGCGUAAAGAGAUCGUAGGUGGUUUAUUAAGUCGGAUGUGAAAUCCCGGGGCUCAACCCCGGAACUGCAUUCGAUACUGGUAGACUAGAGUUUGGGAGGGGUAAGCGGAAUUCCGUGUGUAGCAGUGAAAUGCGUAGAUAUACGGAGGAACACCUGAGGCGAAGGCGGCUUACUGGACCAAUUCUGACACUGAGACUCGAAAGCGUGGGUAGCAAACAGGAUUAGAAACCCUAGUAGUCC
Molecule: ribosomal RNA, 274 nt
Filed under: uncultured bacterium
Lineage: Bacteria
Description: partial 16S ribosomal RNA
Rfam family: Bacterial small subunit ribosomal RNA
Source: RNAcentral